This is a non-coding RNA of Cinara cedri, 423 nucleotides long. The record is from the annotation of a GenBank genome assembly. NCBI's taxonomy places the organism in Eukaryota, Metazoa, Arthropoda, Insecta, Hemiptera, Aphididae.
GUGGCUGCAACCACAUGUGAAGUAGGUCCGUCUUUUUAUUUGUAUAUAAACGCUUAGAUUUUUAUGAAACUCGAUCAAUCGCAAAAUCAUACAUUUGUAUACGGAUAUUACCUGUGGUAUUUAUCUCGCUGAAGACACGCAUCGGUUGCACUAUCAGCACCAAACUGCGCCACGGUAACAAAAAUUGUAGGCAUGCUUAAUAAUUAGUACUAUUUAUUUAUUUGAACGAUAAUAAAUAUCGCAAAACCACGCGUUGGCUAAUAACGUUGGCAAUAAUAUUAAUUUUGUUUAUUGUAUGCAUAUUUAAUCGAAUCGUAGUAAAUUAUGUUUCUUAAAUUUAUUUUAUUCAUUGUCGUUUUUAAAUUUGUAUUCCUGAUAACAUUCCUUUAAAGUUUUUCAAUAGUUUAUUAAGUUGUUUUUUGU